GUUUGUGUGUAUUGGCAUGAGAGGAAAAGAAAUUGCCAUGUCCUAUUUAACCUUUUAUAUAUGAAAAUGAAAAGUAUGAAACAUUUGCAUCUCAAGUAUAUUGUUUUAUAACUAUCCUUCUGUUGAUUAGGAGCCAAAAAAAAAACCGCCAUAUUUACUUCUGAUAAAGAUCAGCACACCUCAGUAUUUAACAUUUGAUAGUUGAUGAGCCAUCAUUUGUGCUUUUGUUUCACAUUGGGAACUCAUGCAUAUGCUUCUUAGUCCUAACUUGUAAGUUACGAUUAUGUAUAUGCAUUAUAAAUACUGUUUUACAUGCUAAGUAUCCUGUUUAGUUUUAGAGAUUCUACAUUCUGUCUCCUGGAGAGCAUGCCU
This 372-nucleotide unclassified non-coding RNA is filed under the name Hevea brasiliensis (rubber tree). The record is from RNAcentral. Lineage: Eukaryota; Viridiplantae; Streptophyta; Magnoliopsida; Malpighiales; Euphorbiaceae.